CUUCAUAAAAUAAAUCAAAGUCAUUUUAAAAAAAUCAUCCACAAAGGUGACAACAUAUCUAAGCCUAGUCUUAGACCCAACAAGACAAGAUCCCUAAACAUAUGAAUGAACUAGUUCAAAAGUAUAUUCAACUUGUUUAUUGAUUCUAUGACUCAAUGAGAUAUGAUAGUGUUUUGCAAAAUGACUAGACUCACUUUCUACUAAAGAUACAUCAUAAACUUGGAGGCAUAGCUUCUUAAAAGUUGGCAAAGAAGGAUGUCCCAAUUGACAAUGUGCUUUAAACGGAGAAACUGUACUGGCACAGAUAACUGAUCAAGGCACACAAGCAUCCAAAAUAUAUAGACCAUUAGAUACAUAUCCUUUACCAAUAACCUUCUUCGUCACAAGAUUCUGAAAAACAUAAUAAUCAAGGAAAAAC
Molecule: long non-coding RNA, 418 nt
Filed under: Manihot esculenta (cassava)
Lineage: Eukaryota; Viridiplantae; Streptophyta; Magnoliopsida; Malpighiales; Euphorbiaceae
Description: long non-coding RNA (MESC_LNC007764)
Source: RNAcentral